This 96-nucleotide ribosomal RNA is filed under the name Staphylococcus simulans. Its description in RNAcentral is "partial 23S ribosomal RNA". It matches the Rfam family "Bacterial large subunit ribosomal RNA", at positions 1 to 96 of the family's 2925-position model. RNAcentral also lists the same sequence under 1 other name. Lineage: Bacteria; Bacillati; Bacillota; Bacilli; Caryophanales; Staphylococcaceae. The record is from RNAcentral.
GAUUAAGUUAUUAAGGGCGCACGGUGGAUGCCUUGGCACUAGAAGCCGAUGAAGGACGUUACUAACGACGAUAUGCUUUGGGUAGCUGUAAGUAAG